CAGUCGCCGCGGGAAUACGAAGGGGGCUAGCGUUGUUCGGAAUUACUGGACGUAAAGCGCACGCAGGCGGCUCGAUAAAUUAGAAGUGAAAGCCUUGGGCUUAACCUGAGAAUUGCUUUUAAGACUGUCGAGCUAGAAUCCAGAAGAGGGUAGUGGAAUUCCGAGUGUAGAGGUGAAAUUCGUAGAUAUUCGGAAGAACACCAGUGGCGAAGGCGGCUCACUGGCUCAUUCUAGACGCUGAGGUGCGAAAGCGUGGGGAGCAAACAGGAUUAGAUACCCCAGUAGUCCCUGUCUCUUAUAC
RNAcentral lists this ribosomal RNA (301 nucleotides) under uncultured bacterium. Its description in RNAcentral is "partial 16S ribosomal RNA". It matches the Rfam family "Bacterial small subunit ribosomal RNA", at positions 509 to 807 of the family's 1533-position model. The record is from RNAcentral.